GACGAACGCUGGCGGCGUGCUUAACACAUGCAAGUCGAACGGAAAGGCCCUGCUCGCAGGGUACUCGAGUGGCGAACGGGUGAGUAACACGUGGGUGAUCUGCCCUGCACUUCGGGAUAAGCUUGGGAAACUGGGUCUAAUACCGGAUAGGACCGCACUUUAGUGUGUGUGGUGGAAAGUUUUUUCGGUGUAGGAUGAGCUCGCGGCCUAACGGCUUGCUGGUGGGGUAAUGGCCUACCAAGGCGGCGUCGGGUAGCCGGCCUGAGUGGGUGUACCGCCACAUUGAGACUGAGGGAAGGCCGAGACUCCGACGGGAGGCAGAAGUGGGGAAGAUUGCACGAGGGGCGCCGGCCGGGUGCAGCGGCGCCUCGUGGGGGAUAAAGGCCUUAGGGUUGAAAACUCCUUUCGCUAGGAACGAAGCUUUUUGUGACGGUACCUAAAUAAGAAGCACCGGCUAACUACGUG
RNAcentral lists this ribosomal RNA (465 nucleotides) under uncultured bacterium. RNAcentral's name for it is "partial 16S ribosomal RNA". It matches the Rfam family "Bacterial small subunit ribosomal RNA", at positions 28 to 507 of the family's 1533-position model. The record is from RNAcentral.